RNAcentral lists this small nucleolar RNA (94 nucleotides) under Erysiphe necator (grape powdery mildew). RNAcentral describes it as "A. fumigatus snoRNA Afu_335". It matches the Rfam family "A. fumigatus snoRNA Afu_335". Lineage: Eukaryota; Fungi; Ascomycota; Leotiomycetes; Helotiales; Erysiphaceae. The record is from Rfam by way of RNAcentral.
UCUUGUGAUGAUUAUCCAGAUAGGGACAAAUUAUGCUGUAGCAGAUGAUUAGAUCUGGUCGAGUUUUUUAGUAGAUGCUUCGAUUUUUCUGAAA